CCACUCCCCAAAUUCUUGCUUGAGAAAUGGCUCUUUGCUAAGAAGCUAUUUUAGUUUUUUUUACCAUUUUGAUUGAAAUCAAUCACAGUAAGACAGAACACCGAGGCGACUACCUGUGGAUAUAACAGAGAAAGGCCAACCGAGCGCGGAGGAAGUUCCUGGACUGGAGGAAGAAGCGACUGCAGGAUAAACUCUCAGAAACACAGAAGAAACUGGAUUUGGCAUGAAAGUGAGGUAAAGGCUGUGUCGUCACCAAAAUAAAUGUUCAGUUGUCAGAUCAUGGACUUGCAAUAAAGUGAUUGGGAUCGUUGUCACAACCAGCAGAACUGAAGCAAGAUACAAAGACAAGUUUCUGAACAUGUUUUGUGAUUUGGUGACAGUGUUUCGCUGGGUCCUUCUUCUCAAAUGUGCUCCAGUCAUCUUCCAGACUACUGCUGUUUUUACGUUUUAAUAAAAGUAUGUGUUUUCUUA
RNAcentral lists this long non-coding RNA (471 nucleotides) under Salmo salar (Atlantic salmon). Its description in RNAcentral is "lncRNA (ENSSSAG00000084074.1)". Lineage: Eukaryota; Metazoa; Chordata; Actinopteri; Salmoniformes; Salmonidae. The record is from RNAcentral.